RNAcentral lists this ribosomal RNA (252 nucleotides) under uncultured bacterium. RNAcentral describes it as "partial 16S ribosomal RNA". It matches the Rfam family "Bacterial small subunit ribosomal RNA", at positions 524 to 776 of the family's 1533-position model. The record is from RNAcentral.
UACGGAGGGCGCAAGCGUUACUCGGAAUCACUGGGCGUAAAGAGCGUGUAGGCGGACUAAUAAGUCAGAAGUGAAAUCCAAUAGCUUAACUAUUGAACUGCAUUUGAAACUGUUGGUCUAGAGUGUGGGAGAGGUAGAUGGAAUUUCUGGUGUAGGGGUAAAAUCCGUAGAUAUCAGAAGGAUACCGAUUGCGGAGGCGAUCUACUGGAACAUAACUGACGCUGAGACGCGAAAGCGUGGGGAGCAAACAGG